CGGCAGAAAGGGGCUGUUAGUGCCUUCCGCCGCCCCGGGCGGGGGGACGGGACGGGACGGGACGGGACGGGCCGGGCUUCUCGGGGCGCUUCGCUCCAGGCACGUACUUCUUUCGAGAGCGGGGAACUCACCCGGGGACUUUCAGGCUACAGCUGGGGCCGGGUGACGCACGCGGAGCCCACGGGCCGCCCGCGGCAGAAAGCAAGCAGCGCUUCCUCCUCUCCUCUGCUCCGCUUUCGCUGCUGCCCCCCGGCAAGGACGCGCCUGUGCAUCGCUGCUGGGAAGGCGCUAAGAGGUCCGACUGAAGAUAUGGUUGGACGUUACAAGCAGGAAAACGCACCAGCAAGACCCUGCACUUCCCACUGACCCUGCGGCAGACCUCAGCCUAUGAAAAAGUUUUUAUUUUGAUGCCAAAGAGGACAAGCCUCUCCACUUAGAGUCAGCCACACCACGGAUGCUUGCGCCAUGCAACAAAACUUAUUUCAGGACUGGAGUCCAGAGCCGUUUCACCCCGGCUGCAUCUGCCAGGGGUAUAAGCGCAUCACUUGGACCCACAGGCAACUCAAGCAGAGCAUUCAUGUUGCUGGGCGUUUUCAGGCACACGCUGCGUCAGGGCAGUAGGAAAAAAGUAGCAGAACUGGCAGCAGCCACUUCAGCACCAACCUCCGGACCUGCGAGCCUCUGAGCAUUAAAAAUUCACCGUCGCCAGCAUCAUCUGGCACGUGCGUCGCCUGCCUCCGCCCGCUCCCCAGACUGCGGCACUAGCCGCAGAGGCGCACGCUACAGAGCUGAGCGGAGACCAGAACGCGGCUCCGAACACGGCGGAGAUCCGGGGGGGGGGGGCAUCACUUCCCCAGGAAACUGCAGAAAAAGGCUGGCAAAAUCUGCCGCACAGGAGCAGGGAGUGAUUUGGUCAGGACUACAUACAUUGACAGGCCAGUUCAGGAGAUGCCACAAGACCAGGAGACUGGGAAAAAUUUAGGAACCUCUUCAAAACACCCUGCAAAACUGCUAAGUUUAGAAAGGCUGCUUACCUGCCUGAAACGGGCUGGAGUUUAAGAAAUGCUGACGCUGGAACUGAGCAGCGUUCCAGUACCGGGCUCGCUUUUGCCCUGUGCAAGAGAUGCUGUUUUCCAGACCCCGUCCGAUACUCCGCAAGGUCCUGUGUUGUGGGGUUGCGUCCGAGGCGGUGGUGCGAGUGUCGCGCGUGGCACAGUUGCUGUCUGCCAGGAUCUACUGCGUCUGUCUGGCUGCUGCUCUCCAGGGCAGUUUCCAACACCGUGGAGGUGGCCUGACAUCUUUGGCCCUGGCCCUCAAAGGCAUCUAAAUAAGUAACAUCUGACCAACAGAUCUUUGAAGGACCCUAGACAUGCUUCACUGGAUGUUUCUUUUCUCAGUUACAAUUCUUUUUUUUGCAGAUAACUGGUUUUAAGACCAUUUAAUGUAGACUAUGAUGAUUUUCUUUCAACCUAGCAUGUCAUACUCCAUCUAAAGCAAAUGUUUGAGUUAUUUCACAGGGUUGGCUGAAAACGGUAACUCAACAAACAUUUAAUGCUUGUUAGAAAUGACCUUUUCUUCCAUGAAAGCAUGCCGAGUGGCAUUAUUCAGGCUAUCGCUACCAAAACCAGCCCCAAACCACUGGUUGCUUCCAUUCCAGUUUGGAAGGAACAUCCCAUCAGCCCACUGUUGCCUCCUGAUCUUCUCUGUGUAGUUUGGAACUCUGCAAGAGUUUCAAGAUAUACUAAAAAUCAAUAUUACUGGCUCCUGGAGCUCCUCAGAUGGUUUUUCCUGUUACUUCGGCAUGCCCACUAAUUACUUCUGCAGAUUUAAAGUGUUUUACAACAAGCAGCUGCCGUUUUAUGUCCUAUUGAACAACUGCGUAGGGUAUUUUUCAUUACUACAGUAAGAUAUAAAUAAAUCUUUGGCCUUGUUUUUGAGUUAAGUGAACUGCUUUUCUAUUAUUUUUAUGCUAUUGUCCCUGUCAAGUAUUGUAACUGUACCACUCUCCAGAUGAUGUUUGUUCUUGGGUAUAUUCAGUGUGUAUUGUCCUUACCAUAAUGGCUAUAGAUUUUCUACUUACCUCCUCCCUUACCAGUGGCCAACAGUGACAGUAAAUUGAUAGUUAAGAAA
Molecule: long non-coding RNA, 2130 nt
Organism: Rhea pennata
Lineage: Eukaryota; Metazoa; Chordata; Aves; Rheiformes; Rheidae
Exons: 2
Source: RefSeq, a predicted model, not a curated record